CCUACGGGAGGCAGCAGUGGGGGAUAUUGCACAAUGGGGGAAACUCUGAUGCAGCGAUGCCGCGUGAGUGAAGACGUCUUUCUGUAUGUAAAGCUCUAUUUGUAGGGAAGUAAAUCACAGUACCUGACUAAGAUUCCCCGGCUAAUUCCGUUCCAGCAGCCGCGGUAAUACGUAGGGGGCAAGCGUUAUCCGGAUUUUCUGGGUGUAAAGGGAGCGUAGGCGGUUAUGUAAGUCCGUAGUGAAAGCCCGGGGCCCAACCCCGGGACUGCUUUGGAUACUGUGUAGCUGGAGUACAGGCGGGGCAGGCGGAAUUCAUGGUGUAGCGGUGAAAUGCGUAGAGAUCAGAAGGAACACCGACGGCGAAGGCAGCCUACUGAACUGAGACUGACGUUGAGGCUCGAAAGCGUGGGGAGCAAACAGGAUUAGAUACCCCAGUAGUC
This 440-nucleotide ribosomal RNA is filed under the name uncultured bacterium. Its description in RNAcentral is "partial 16S ribosomal RNA". It matches the Rfam family "Bacterial small subunit ribosomal RNA", at positions 338 to 795 of the family's 1533-position model. The record is from RNAcentral.